AACGGCCGUACCAUGCUGAAUAUACCGGUUCUCGUUAGAUCACCGAAGUCAAGCAGCAUUGGGCGCGGUCAGUACUUGGGUGGGUGACCACCUGGGAACACCGCGUGCCGUU
This 112-nucleotide ribosomal RNA is filed under the name Caerostris darwini. The record is from RNAcentral. Lineage: Eukaryota; Metazoa; Arthropoda; Arachnida; Araneae; Araneidae.